CCAGCUCCAAUAGCGUAUAUUAAAGUUGUUGCAGUUAAAAGGCUCGUAGUCGAACUUUUGGUCCUCUAGGUUUGUCCCGUUCUCUUGUAGAACGUUGUGACGAUUCUUAGGACCUUCCUGGUAGAAAGCGUUUCUGCCCUUUAUUGGGUUGGUUGCGCGAUCUGCCUCUUUUACUGUGAGAAAAACAAAGUGCUCAAAGCAGGCUUUACAGCUUGAAUGCGUUAGCAUGGAAUAAUAAGAUAGGACUUUGUUUCUAUUUUGUUGGCUCUGAGGAACAAAGUAAUGAUUGAUAGGGAUAGUUGGGGGUGCUCGUAUUUAACGGUCAGCGGUGAAAUGCAUGGACCCGUUAAAGACGAACCUAUGCGAAAGCAUUCACCAAGGAUAUCUUCU
RNAcentral lists this ribosomal RNA (390 nucleotides) under uncultured Arachnula. RNAcentral describes it as "SSU rRNA". It matches the Rfam family "Eukaryotic small subunit ribosomal RNA", at positions 585 to 972 of the family's 1831-position model. Lineage: Eukaryota; Endomyxa; Vampyrellida; Leptophryidae. The record is from RNAcentral.